Molecule: non-coding RNA, 28 nt
Filed under: Homo sapiens (human)
Lineage: Eukaryota; Metazoa; Chordata; Mammalia; Primates; Hominidae
Source: RNAcentral
UCUUUGACCAGUGUGUUGCAGACAGAGA